Haematospirillum jordaniae is the source of this 53-nucleotide non-coding RNA. Lineage: Bacteria; Pseudomonadati; Pseudomonadota; Alphaproteobacteria; Rhodospirillales; Novispirillaceae. The record is from Rfam.
CGAACCUGACCGCGUUGUGGCAAAUUCCACAGCCGGGUUUGACAGCCCGCAUA